RNAcentral lists this unclassified non-coding RNA (433 nucleotides) under soil metagenome. RNAcentral's name for it is "partial contains 5.8S ribosomal RNA, internal transcribed spacer 2, and large subunit ribosomal RNA". The stretch from base 1 to 120 matches the Rfam family "5.8S ribosomal RNA", at positions 35 to 154 of the family's 154-position model. The record is from RNAcentral.
GAUGAAGAACGCAGCGAAAUGCGAUACGUAAUGUGAAUUGCAGAAUUCAGUGAAUCAUCGAAUCUUUGAACGCAUAUUGCGCUCUCUGGUAUUCCGGAGAGCAUGCUUGUUUGAGUAUCAGUAAACACCUCAACUUCCAUAUCUUUUUUGAAAUGGGAGUUGGACUUGAGUGAUCCCAACGCUUUUCCUCACCGAAAAGUGGCGGGUUACUUGAAAUGCAGGUGCAGCUGGACUUUUCUCUGAGCUAUAAGCAUAUCUAUUUAGUCUGCCUAAAAAACAGAUUAUUACCUUUGCUGCAGAUAACAUAAAGGAGAUUAGUUCUUGUGCUGACUGAUGCAGGAUUCACAAAGACAGGCUUCGGCCGACUUUGUAAACUCGAUCUCAAAUCAAGUAAGACUACCCGCUGAACUUAAGCAUAUCAAUAAGCGGAGGA